CACACCAGAUGUGUGCGGAAAAGAAAAAAGUUUAUAAUUCUUGUUAACGUGAAUUCAUCACACAGUCGAUAAAAAAAUGUUGAAUAUCAAGUGUGUUGUAUCGAUGCUCUUUGGAGUUCUUUUCAUUUUCAAAAUUGUCGAGGCCAAAGUUUAUCUUAAAUUUAAAGCUCUGGAUCCAUCAACGAAAAAGGAGACGAAAUAUCACGUUGAAGAUUUACCUCAAUCAUUAUUUCAAAUAACAGCGCACUACAUGUGGGAGCAUUUUGUUGAAAAAGAAGCUUGGAGUCUUAUGCGUGAGCCACUUGGAUUUGGAAAAGACAAUUAUGGAAAUUACAUCGCACAUAUGGUGAAUAAUGAGAUGAGCCAAAAUACAUCUUUGGGUUGCUUUAAAACUUCAACUUGAGAGUUGGUUGGCUUUGAUCGAACAAUGUGACGAGGGAUCUUCUGCACCUACAAUUGUAUAUAAAAAAAAUCGAAAUCGAAAACCAAUGGAAGUACUUGUAAACCAAAUUUUUGGAGCAAUAUACUUUAAUGUAUGUGACAAGUAUGGAGUUAAUAGAUAUUUGUGUAGCGAUGGACUGGUUGUUCUUCCAGAUUAUCGUGGUCUGGGUAUAAGCACGAACCUUCUACAAGCAAGACAAGGAAUUUGCAAAAAGUACGGAUUGCACGUAUCUUCAUCCACGUUUUCAGGCGACAUCUCCAACAAAGCAGCCAUAUCAGCUGGAUUCACGAAUCUUGACGUAAGCAUACCAUGGAAAGAAUUUAUCAAUGCACAUGCCGAACUAGCUCAUUUAAGGGAGUAUGUAGAAAACAGCGAAUAUUUUACACGUAGAUCGAUCAUCUACAAUUUUUAAAACGAUUAUUUUUCGAUCACAUUUUUUCUUUUGAUAAUUAUAAAUUUUAAAAUUCUUAUAUUGCGAAAAUGGGACUAUUUGUAUUCGUUGCGUUCAAUUAGUUGACAGAAGAGAAGAAAAUGAAGUAACUUGCAAAAAAAUUGUUUUUCAUGUUUUGAACUAACUUUAAUUUCAAUGUUAAUUUAAU
Molecule: long non-coding RNA, 1041 nt
Organism: Contarinia nasturtii (swede midge)
Lineage: Eukaryota; Metazoa; Arthropoda; Insecta; Diptera; Cecidomyiidae
Exons: 3
Source: RefSeq, a predicted model, not a curated record